GAAAUAGGAAAUUCAAAGGCAAGCUUCUAACUUAGCCUUUAAGCGAUGAAAUUUCGUUUAUAUUUCG
RNAcentral lists this transfer RNA (67 nucleotides) under Xixuthrus sp. ANIC_25-067096. Its description in RNAcentral is "tRNA-Ser". Lineage: Eukaryota; Metazoa; Arthropoda; Insecta; Coleoptera; Cerambycidae. The record is from RNAcentral.